Molecule: ribosomal RNA, 406 nt
Filed under: uncultured bacterium
Lineage: Bacteria
Description: partial 16S ribosomal RNA
Rfam family: Bacterial small subunit ribosomal RNA
Source: RNAcentral
AUUGAACGCUGGCGGCAGGCCUAACACAUGCAAGUCGAACGAGUGGCGGACGGGUGAGUAAUGUCUGGGAAACUGCCCGAUGGAGGGGGAUAACUACUGGAAACGGUAUCUAAUACCGCAUUCCAUCGGAUGUGCCCUGAUGGGAUUAGCUAGUAGGUGGGGUAACGUCUCACCUAGGCGACGAUCCCUAGCUGGUCUGCGAGGAUGACCAGACACGAUGAAGCUGAGACACGGUCCAGACUCCAACGGGCGGCAGCAGUGGGGAAUAUUGCAACAUGGGAGCAAGCCUGAUGCAGCCAGGCCGCGUGUAUGAAGAAGACCUUCGGGUUGUAAAGUACUUUCAGCGAGGAGGCAUUACUCGCAGAAGAAGCACCGGCUAACUCCGUGCCAGCGGCCGCGGUAAUAC